Molecule: ribosomal RNA, 456 nt
Filed under: uncultured bacterium
Lineage: Bacteria
Description: bacterial SSU rRNA
Rfam family: Bacterial small subunit ribosomal RNA
Source: RNAcentral
AACGAACGCUGGCGGCAGGCCUAACACAUGCAAGUCGAGCGCCCCGCAAGGGGAGCGGCGGACGGGUGAGUAACGCGUGGGAACGUACCCUUUGUUACGGAAUAGCCUCGGGAAACUGGGAGUAAUACCGUAUGUGCCCUUCGGGGGAAAGAUUUAUCGGCAAAGGAUCGGCCCGCGUUGGAUUAGGUAGUUGGUGGGGUAAUGGCCUACCAAGCCGACGAUCCAUAGCUGGUUUGAGAGGAUGAUCAGCCACACUGGGACUGAGACACGGCCCAGACUCCUACGGGAGGCAGCAGUGGGGAAUCUUAGACAAUGGGCGCAAGCCUGAUCUAGCCAUGCCGCGUGAGCGAUGAAGGCCUUAGGGUUGUAAAGCUCUUUCAGUGGGGAAGAUAAUGACUGUACCCACAGAAGAAGCCCGGCUAACUCCGUGCCAGCAGCCGCGGUAAUGUACAGUGU